GACAUAUCUCUGGGACCAAAACCUAGGUGAUGUGACUCUCUUCUGACAGGGUCAUGCCCACAGAAGAAAGAUGGCUUAUUGCCAAACCCAGCACACAGGAAAUGUGUCUCUCCUCUUCUGCCUGCACCUUGCCAACAGAGAAAAUUGUGACAUAUUACUGAGCCUAGCAACCAGGUGAUGUGUCUCUCCUGCCUGGGCCUGGCUGACAGAAAGCAGUGUGAUAUAUUCCCGGGCCCAGCAAACAGGUAAUGUGACUCUCCUGCCUAGUCCCUGGCCUCCAGGAAGAUUUUGACAUAUUCCUGGCUCCAAAAAACAGGUGACGUGACUCUACUUAUCAUUCCCUAUCCACGGGUGUAAUUGUCACAUUUAUCUUGGCCUAGCUCACAGAUGGCAUAAGUCUCAUACCUUGAACCAGCCAAUAGCAGAGAUCCUGUGUCUCUUAGCAAGGCUUAGGCAAAUAGUCCACAGGUGGGUUAUUGACACUCAGACCAAGAUUCAGUACACCUGAAAGACUGUGACUCCACUAAGAAAACAGUCUGUGAGAGGAAUUGAGGCUCUCGUCCAUGGAUCUAGUCCACUGUUGAGAUUGUGAAUCAUGUACUUAGGCCCAACAUAAAAGAGGUGUUGAUUCUCAUACCUGGAACCUGGACAUGUGCAGGAUUGUUAAUCUCAUUUAUGAACAUUCCUGCAGCUGUGAUUGUGACAUAUGCCUCUGCCCAGCACCUGAGUGAUUGAAUUCUUCUGCCUGGGCUCAGCCCACAGAUUGGAUUGUGAAACAUUGCUGAACCCAGGACCUAACUAAUGUAAAUCUAUUCUCCUGCCUUGGCACUGCCCACUGGGAACCCUGUGACAUAUUGCUGCA
This 862-nucleotide long non-coding RNA is filed under the name Homo sapiens (human). RNAcentral describes it as "non-protein coding lnc-ZNF107-2:1". The record is from RNAcentral. Lineage: Eukaryota; Metazoa; Chordata; Mammalia; Primates; Hominidae.